This 492-nucleotide ribosomal RNA is filed under the name uncultured bacterium. RNAcentral's name for it is "partial 16S ribosomal RNA". It matches the Rfam family "Bacterial small subunit ribosomal RNA", at positions 29 to 507 of the family's 1533-position model. The record is from RNAcentral.
AGUGAACGCUGGCGGUAGGCCUAACACAUGCAAGUCGAACGGCAGCACAGUAAGAGCUUGCUCUUACGGGUGGCGAGUGCCGGACGGGUGAGGAAUACAUCGGAAUCUACUUUUUCGUGGGGGAUAACGUAGGGAAACUUACGCUAAUACCGCAUACGACCUACGGGUGAAAGCAGGGGAUCUUCGGACCUUGCGCGAUUGAAUGAGCCGAUGUCGGAUUAGCUAGUUGGCGGGGUAAAGGCCCACCAAGGCGACGAUCCGUAGCUGGUCUGAGAGGAUGAUCAGCCACACUGGAACUGAGACACGAUCCAGACUCCUACGGGAGGCAGCAGUGGGGAAUAUUGGACAAUGGGCGCAAGCCUGAUCCAGCCAUACCGCGUGGGUGAAGAAGGCCUUCGGGUUGUAAAGCCCUUUUGUUGGGAAAGAAAAGCAGCAGGUUAAUACCCCGCUGUUCUGACGGUACCCAAAGAAUAAGCACCGGCUAACUUCGUG